Rhea pennata is the source of this 2105-nucleotide RNA transcript. It is a transcript of the gene named CD200 molecule, with no coding region annotated. The transcript is spliced from 9 exons. Lineage: Eukaryota; Metazoa; Chordata; Aves; Rheiformes; Rheidae. The record is from RefSeq and is a predicted model, not a curated record.
UCCAGCACCUGCAGAGCCAGAAGGUGGUUGGUGUCUGGGUGAAUUUCCAAUGGGCAAACCAGGACCUGCCGGCAGCGAGAGGGGUGGCAGAGCGGGCGUGGACACAGCAGGUUGCCCGCGUGUGCUCGGACGCGGUGCCCAGCAUCGCCGAAGGGCUACCAGCGUCCGUGCGCAGAGAGUAGCGUCGGAGAUACCGCUGCCACGCUGGAACUCGCAGCCAGGCACAAGCUGCGCUUUGUCCGGACGGUGAAGAGGAUGCUGCCUUCCAAAAUGACUUUCCAAGCUCUGCUUCUGAGUCUGUUUUGUAUUGCGCUUGGAAAAGCAAGUAUGAUAAUACACACUGGCCACAGAAAGGUGAAGAUGGGAAGCAACGUGACUCUGAGCUGUGUCCUGACAGAGCCCAAGGAAGUUCUGCAAGUGACAUGGCAAAAGGACUCUGAAAAAACACGUGAGAAUAUAGCUACAUACAGUAACGUAAAAGGACUAAAGAUUCACAAGCCCUUUCGGGACCGAUUGAAUUUCACAAGUCUGGUUCUCAACGAGACAAACAUCACUUUCUGGGACACUAGAAUGGACGACUCAGGAUGUUACAUAUGCCUCUUCAACGCUUUCCCCAUCGGCUCCUUCUCGGGACGUACCUGCCUGAGCGUCCUUGGUCUCAAUGCAUCUGUCCAUUAUAACAUUUCCGAAGGACAUUUGACAGCCAUCUGUAAUGCUGUUGGCCUCCCAGAGCCUACCAUCAGCUGGAAUGGCUUGUUCAAUUCCACUCCAACACAGGAGAAGGUCAGGCACGCCAAUGGAAUUGUGUCCAUCACCAGUAAACUGGAGAUCUACGACACACAGAGCCUCAGGGGGCAAGAGCUGACCUGCAAAGUGAGCAACAGGAAUGAAGAAAUGGAAUUGCCCGUGAAAAUGAGAAAGGAAGAGUCAUUCUCAUUCCUUGGACUGAUGAUUACUUUGGGGAUUUUACUUGUUGUCUUCGUUCUAAUUGUGAUUGCAGUGUGGUGGAGGAAGAGGAUAUGCAAGCGGGGUCAAAGCGGGAAAAAGAAAGUUCCCCAAGCCUUCUGUGCUUGUGAAAGAUGGUGCACUGCCAAUUCUGAUACCAGCUAUCCUCUUAUCACAAGAAAGAUGCUGCAAAACUCUUCAGAUGAGGAGAAAAUGAAGCUUUCUGCCCUCAGCUGCCACACAGUUAAAAAGUCUCUCUCUCUGCAUUUUUCAGCUCACACAUCUCAGUGGCAAUUGGUGCUUCAGCAAGGGCUACAUCAUCAAAGGGCUGCUGGAAAGACACGUGAGGCUCCCCAAAUCCCAGAGGAGAGCUGCCUGCUCUCAUUCUGCACACUUCUGUUUUGAGUGAGGCACCCUCUCCCAUAAUCUGAGGUCAACCGGACUACUUUAGCACUUCUAGCUUGUUUCUGGUUCAUCUUUUGCUUUUUCUCUCACAAGCGUAGAGCUCUAAAGCUCCCAAGGAGAGAAGAGAAACCACACUGGAAGACGAACGCCUUGCGUGGGCACUGAAAGCUGUUUCUGCUCAACUUGUGUUUCCUCAUGAGAAUACCAAGGAAGCAAGGUAGUAACUGAAGCAUGAAGAAGGUGGUGGGUACCAGCACAACUGGGUGCAGACUAGUGCCCUGGCACUGGAAAAAACAUGUUUGGAGAGGCCACCUUCUAGCAUGCACGAGUUUUUCAGUAUAUGGAAUUCAUAUGUUUAAAAGGGGCCUUAAAUUCGUAUUAAAGGGGCCUCACCUUCAACAAUAACCCUUAUUCCAUGGCUCUCACUGGACAAGGUGCCCACUGUUGCUCGACAACGAUUUAUUUCAGAUCAUUGUUUUCCUCUUGGUAAUUUACGGAAGAAAAGACUGCUCCUCAGUAAACAUCUGUUGUAACUGGAAUAAUGAAGAGAAUUAUAUUUCAUGAAAAUACACCUUAUCUUUAUUUUUUGUUUCUCUGUAGUUUUGUUGAACUUGGUGUUCCGGUAAGGUAUUGUAUACCACCUUAACUCUGGGUCUUGGUAUUGAAUGUUCCGACAUUUUCUUAAAGAUUCUUUUGUCUUGUGGUCCUUGAUUUCUCUGGCUAAAUAAAAUUAAUGAAAACUAUGUGAUACUGAA